UAGUCCACGCCGUAAACGAUGGAUACUAGCUGUUCGGACUUCGGUCUGAGUGGCCCAGCGAAAGUGAUAAGUAUCCCACCUGGGGAGUACGUUCGCAAGAAUGAAACUCAAAGGAAUUGACGGGGGCCCGCACAAGCGGUGGAGCAUGUGGUUUAAUUCGAUGAUACGCGAGGAACCUUACCAGGGCUUAAAUGUAUAGUGACAGGGAUAGAGAUAUCUUUUUCUUCGGACACUUUACAAGGUGCUGCAUGGUUGUCGUCAGCUCGUGCCGUGAGGUGUCAGGUUAAGUCCUAUAACGAGCGCAACCCCUGUUGUUAGUUGCCAGCACAUUAUGGUGGGAACUCUAACAAGACUGCCGGUGCAAACCGUGAGGAAGGUGGGGAUGACGUCAAAUCAUCACGGGCCCUUACGUCCUGGGGCUACACACGUGCUACAAUGGGUAGGUACAGAGAGUAGCCAACCCGCGAGGGGGAGCCAAUCCCAGAAAGCCUGUCCCAGUUCGGGAUUGAAGUCUGC
This 516-nucleotide ribosomal RNA is filed under the name uncultured bacterium. RNAcentral's name for it is "bacterial SSU rRNA". It matches the Rfam family "Bacterial small subunit ribosomal RNA", at positions 791 to 1308 of the family's 1533-position model. The record is from RNAcentral.